UACAACUCCACAAACUCAUCCCAGGCAAAGCUUUCCCAUGGUUGGACAUAUAACAUUAGCAAGAAGUGAACUCCUAUUGUACAUCACCAACAUUUCUGAACCUUUUGUUACUACAGCAAAACAGCCUCAGCUGACUGAUGUGUCACCUCUCCUGUUUGCUCUCCUUAGCAACAGCGUCAUUUUCCACAUUGGUUAGAAGAUGGUCAAAUGAUCCCAGAUGUCAUCUUCUGGCAUGAUGACAUCCAGAGCAAGAAGACAGAACGACCAUCUCAGGGCCCUUUCUUCUCAGUUGUCUCCACAAACAUGGUCUCUUCUCACUUGGAAACAGGAAUGUAGGUGGACUCAGCCGCCAAGGGUCCCAGACUCCAGAAUGCUCAUGAAAGACCUACUGUGCAAAAUUCCCUGCCGGUUUCCUUCUCACCUAAGGAUCACCAGAGAGAUCACCAGAG
Peromyscus maniculatus bairdii (prairie deer mouse) is the source of this 449-nucleotide non-coding RNA. The record is from RefSeq and is a predicted model, not a curated record. Lineage: Eukaryota; Metazoa; Chordata; Mammalia; Rodentia; Cricetidae.